AUACGGAGGUUGCAAGCGUUGUUCGGAAUUACUGGGCGUAAAGCGCGCGUAGGCGGUCUGUUAUGUCAGAUGUGAAAGUCCUCGGCUCAACCGGGGAAGUGCAUUUGAAACUGGCAGACUUGAGUACUGGAGGGGGUGGUGGAAUUCCCGGUGUAGAGGUGAAAUUCGUAGAUAUCGGGAGGAAUACCGGUGGCGAAGGCGACCACCUGGCCAGAUACUGACGCUGAGGUGCGAAAGCGUGGGGAGCAAACAGGAUUAGAAACCCUAGUAGUCC
This 274-nucleotide ribosomal RNA is filed under the name uncultured bacterium. Its description in RNAcentral is "partial 16S ribosomal RNA". It matches the Rfam family "Bacterial small subunit ribosomal RNA", at positions 523 to 796 of the family's 1533-position model. The record is from RNAcentral.